CAAACACAUUCAGCACCCAAACACAUUCAGCACCCACAGACAUACAGCACCCACAGACAUACAGCACCCACAGACAUACACAGCACCCACAGACAUACACAGCACACACAGACAUACAGCACCCACAGACAUACACAGCACACACAGACAUACACAGCACCCAAACACAUUCAGCACCCAAACACAUUCAGCACCCAAACACAUUCAGCACCCA
This 214-nucleotide long non-coding RNA is filed under the name Pelobates cultripes (western spadefoot toad). Lineage: Eukaryota; Metazoa; Chordata; Amphibia; Anura; Pelobatidae. The record is from RNAcentral.